CAUGCCAAGGAAAGCUCGCCCAGCUGCACAAAAUGCUCUGGUUGACAUCGGGUUUCUGCGCACCAAGCUGCGCCAUGACCAAGGGUUAGAGCCGAGGCGUCCACCGGCUGGGCCACCCCGGACGUGGGCGCUCCAUCUGCUCCUGCGGUUCCUGCUGUGCUUGGCUAAGCCGUGGCUGGAACCGGCGCCCGCCAGAAGUGCAGGAGCCGCCCUGCCGGCAGAAAGAGGGCAUGGUCGCUGAAAACCAGGCCCUGCUGACAAAUCUCAGACGCCAGGAACAGAAGAACCACAAAAAUGGACGGACCGUUGGAACACCUGAGGGUGAAGUUGUGCGAACUCCUCAAAGUGGAACAGCAAAGCAGCCACCAGAGAUGGACUAGAAAGAUGAAAAAUUAGCAGAAAUCAAAGGCAGAUGCUAAAGCAGUGCAAAACCGUUCACACAACGAUAGAGACGGAAUUGAUGAAGAAGUUUGAGAAAUGAAUGACAGAAAGAAAGGACAGCAGUGACCAUGGUAAGGUGCUGACGAUUCUGGUCCACUGGAUCCCAUCAUCCCUAGGGCAGUAAAUCUCAUCACAGUCACCACUCAGCAAGUUACCACCGCAGCAUUUCCUGUUUGUUCCAAAAUGAAUAAAAGUGAUUCUCAUCACAAGGGCAAAUACAGAGUAGUUU
This 670-nucleotide long non-coding RNA is filed under the name Homo sapiens (human). RNAcentral's name for it is "non-protein coding lnc-ZNF429-5:1". Lineage: Eukaryota; Metazoa; Chordata; Mammalia; Primates; Hominidae. The record is from RNAcentral.